GGACGAACGCUGGCGGCACGCCUAACACAUGCAAGUCGAACGGAGAUUGAGAGCUUGCUCUUAAAUCUUAGUGGCGGACGGGUGAGUAACACGUGAGCAACCUGCCUCUGAGAGAGGGAUAGCUUCUGGAAACGGAUGGUAAUACCUCAUAACAUUACAUGACCGCAUGAUCGUGUAAUCAAAGAUUUAUCACUCAGAGAUGGGCUCGCGUCUGAUUAGCUAGUUGGUGAGGUAACGGCCCACCAAGGCGACGAUCAGUAGCCGGACUGAGAGGUUGAACGGCCACAUUGGGACUGAGACACGGCCCAGACUCCUACGGGAGGCAGCAGUGAGGGAUAUUGCACAAUGGAGGAAACUCUGAUGCAGCGAUGCCGCGUGGAGGAAGUAAGGUUUUCGGAUUGUAAACUCCUGUUUCGAGGGACGAUAAUGACGGUACCUCGGGAGGAAGCUCCGGCUAACUACGUGCCAGCAGCGGC
This 476-nucleotide ribosomal RNA is filed under the name uncultured bacterium. Its description in RNAcentral is "bacterial SSU rRNA". It matches the Rfam family "Bacterial small subunit ribosomal RNA", at positions 27 to 518 of the family's 1533-position model. The record is from RNAcentral.